GCCAGGCGCGGUGGCUCACACCUGUAAUCCCAGCACUUUGGGAGGCUGAGGCGGGUUCAUCAUUUGAGGUCAGGAGUUUCAGACCAGCCUGGCCAACAUGGUGAAACCCUGUCUCUACUAAAAAUACAAAAAAUUAGCUAGGCCUGUUGGCUCACGCCAGUAAUCCCAGCUACUCGGGAGACCAAGGCACGAAAAUCACUUGAAUUCGGGAGGCGGAGGUUGCAGUGAGCCGAGAUCGUGCCACUGUACUCCAGCUUGGCCAACAGAGUGAGACUCUGUCUCA
Molecule: small RNA, 283 nt
Filed under: Pan troglodytes (chimpanzee)
Lineage: Eukaryota; Metazoa; Chordata; Mammalia; Primates; Hominidae
Source: RNAcentral